This 286-nucleotide ribosomal RNA is filed under the name uncultured prokaryote. RNAcentral's name for it is "partial 16S ribosomal RNA". It matches the Rfam family "Bacterial small subunit ribosomal RNA", at positions 355 to 636 of the family's 1533-position model. The record is from RNAcentral.
UUAAGAAUCUUGCACAAUGGGGGCAACCCUGAUGCAGCGACGCCGCGUGAAUGAUGAAGGCCUUCGGGUUGUAAAGUUCAGUAAGCAGGGAAGAAUAAGCAACGGGUAAUAUUCGUUGUGAUGACGGUACCUGCCUAAAGCCCCGGCUAACUACGUGCCAGCAGCCGCGGUAAUACGUAUGGGGCAAGCGUUGUUCGGAAUUAUUGGGCGUAACGGGCGUCUAGGCGGGGGAUUAAGUUAGCUGUGAAAUCUAUGGGCUCAACCCAUAAACUGCAUCUAAGACUGG